UGCCUCUAGCCAAACCAAUAUUAGAGGUACUGCCUGCCCAGUGAUAUUAAUUCAACGGCCGCGGUAUCCUGACCGUGCAAAGGUAGCAUAAUCACUUGUCUUUUAAAUAAAGACUAGUAUGAACGGCAAAACGAAGGCUAAACUGUCUCCUUUACCUAAUCAAUGAAACUGAUCUCCUGGUACAAAAGCCAGAAUAAAAAAAUAAGACGAGAAGACCCUAUGGAGCUUUAAACAAAAUAGAAAGUUACCAAUCAACCCUGUAUACUCAUUCUACGCUGUUUUCGGUUGGGGCGACCACGGAGUAGACAAACCCUCCGAGCUAAACUAGUCAAGGAAAACCACCCUAGACACCAGAACCCUGCACUAUUGACCCAAUUAUUUUUGAUCAACGAACCAAGUUACCCUAGGGAUAACAGCGCAAUCCUCUUUAAGAGCUCCUAUCGACAAGAGGGCUUACGACCUCGAUGUUGGAUCGGGAUAACCUGACAGCGCAACAGUCGUCAAGGGUUUGUUUGUUCAACAAUUAAAAUCCC
This 533-nucleotide ribosomal RNA is filed under the name Uraeotyphlus cf. oommeni DJG-954. RNAcentral's name for it is "partial 16S ribosomal RNA". It matches the Rfam family "Bacterial large subunit ribosomal RNA", at positions 1817 to 2597 of the family's 2925-position model. Lineage: Eukaryota; Metazoa; Chordata; Amphibia; Gymnophiona; Ichthyophiidae. The record is from RNAcentral. RNAcentral also lists the same sequence under 1 other name.